GCCCGUAUAAUAACUGUCUUGGAGAAGCAGCUAAUCUUCUCCAUGGUAGUGAUGUGAAUGGGGAUGUACCUGGAAAUUCUAUUAUGUUGCUGUAAGCCUUGACUGUGUAAGUCCCUUGUCUGUCACUCUCCCAAGUCCCACAUAUCCAUUUCUUUCUGUACUGUGAUAUUAAUGUAACCCCAAUAUCAGUCGAGUAAGUUAAGAAGCUGU
Molecule: long non-coding RNA, 210 nt
Filed under: Populus trichocarpa (black cottonwood)
Lineage: Eukaryota; Viridiplantae; Streptophyta; Magnoliopsida; Malpighiales; Salicaceae
Description: long non-coding RNA (PTRI_LNC001361)
Source: RNAcentral